Molecule: long non-coding RNA, 242 nt
Filed under: Helianthus annuus (common sunflower)
Lineage: Eukaryota; Viridiplantae; Streptophyta; Magnoliopsida; Asterales; Asteraceae
Description: sRNA HanXRQr2_Chr06g0242871
Source: RNAcentral
CCCACACACCAACACCAGAGCUUAACUUCCCUUUCCCUAACCUAAUUUGUUCACUUCUCCCCAGGACCCCAGCGAUUAUCUGUGUUUUGCCUCCAUGGCAUCAGUUCUAGGAAGCAACCAUGAAGGAGAUUCCAGAGCCUGAAAGACAUUUGUCUUGUGUACUGGUGUGCUGAGUUGUUCCAUAAAGCAAAUCAAAAUCGCCGGUGAUCCAAGGGAUACCAAGCACGACUAGAGGAUCGCAA